GACGAACGCUGGCGGCGUGCUUAACACAUGCAAGUCGAACGGAAAGGCCCUGCUUUUGUGGGGUGCUCGAGUGGCGAACGGGUGAGUAACACGUGAGUAACCUGCCCUUGACUUUGGGAUAACUUCAGGAAACUGGGGCUAAUACCGGAUAGGAGCUCCUGCUGCAUGGUGGGGGUUGGAAAGUUUCGGCGGUUGGGGAUGGACUCGCGGCUUAUCAGCUUGUUGGUGGGGUAGUGGCUUACCAAGGCUUUGACGGGUAGCCGGCCUGAGAGGGUGACCGGCCAAAAUGGGACUGGGAUACGGCCCAGACUCCUACGGGAGGCAGCAGUGGGGAAUAUUGCAACAUGGGCGGAAGCCUGAUGCAGCAACGCCGGGGGGGGGAUGACGGCCUUCGGGUUGUAAACCGCUUUCGCCUGUGACGAAGCGUGAGUGACGGUAAUGGGUAAAGAAGCACCGGCUAACUACGUG
This 468-nucleotide ribosomal RNA is filed under the name uncultured bacterium. RNAcentral describes it as "partial 16S ribosomal RNA". It matches the Rfam family "Bacterial small subunit ribosomal RNA", at positions 28 to 507 of the family's 1533-position model. The record is from RNAcentral.